This 319-nucleotide ribosomal RNA is filed under the name uncultured beta proteobacterium. Its description in RNAcentral is "bacterial SSU rRNA". It matches the Rfam family "Bacterial small subunit ribosomal RNA", at positions 8 to 327 of the family's 1533-position model. Lineage: Bacteria; Pseudomonadati; Pseudomonadota; Betaproteobacteria. The record is from RNAcentral.
AGAGUUUGAUCCUGGCUCAGAUUGAACGCUGGCGGCAUGCUUUACACAUGCAAAGUCGAACGGCAGCAUGGGUGCUUGCACCUGAUGGCGAGUGGCGAACGGGUGAGUAAUAUAUCGGAACAUGUCCGGAAGUGGGGGAUAACGUAGCGAAAGUUACGCUAAUACCGCAUAUGCCCUGAGGGGGAAAGGAGGGGAUCGUAAGACCUUUCGCUUUCGGAGUGGCCGAUAUCAGAUUAGCUAGUUGGUGAGGUAAAGGCUCACCAAGGCGACGAUCUGUAGCGGGUCUGAGAGGAUGAUCCGCCACACUGAACUGAGACAC